UGGUGGAGUGAUUUGUCUGGUUAUUCCGUUAACGAACGAGACCUCGACCUGCUAAAUAGUUUGGCGAACUCUUCUGGGUUCGUACAACACUUCUUAGAGGGACUAUCGGUGUGUAGCCGAUGGAAGUUCGAGGCAAUAACA
This 141-nucleotide ribosomal RNA is filed under the name uncultured eukaryote. Its description in RNAcentral is "partial 18S ribosomal RNA". It matches the Rfam family "Eukaryotic small subunit ribosomal RNA", at positions 1299 to 1458 of the family's 1831-position model. The record is from RNAcentral.